UUUUUUUUUUCCAAAGGGUGUCUUUGUAUAUAUAACAUCCAAACAGCAUCAUCCAUCAAUGGAGAAUCCAUGUUGGAGAGGCAAGUACAAGAUACAACAACAAAUUUUACAAUCAACCAAAUACAAGUAAAGUACAACCCAUUCUGCCACUAAAGGGAACGUUGUGAAAUGGUAGCUUGUUAACAGCAACAUCAUAACUAAUCUCAAUAAGACCAAACAUCAAAACUCAAAGGUUUAGAGCUGAUCUUAUAGCUUCCAUCAUAUGCUUGUAGUAUGGUUGCUUCUUGCUCACCAUCUUAACAUCCGAGCAGGGUGAUAACUUCUAUUCUGAUUAUAAAACAACUAAACAGAUAAAAGCAUAAAACUAAAACAAUCUACACUAGAAGCUUAACCCUGAUUAAAAAGCCAAACUAAAAUAAAAUAUCAAAAGCGAUAACAAAGAGAUAAGGAUGAAUCCACGUGUUGCACAAUCAGCCAAAGAAAAGGUGAGUCAUCAAAGUGGCCUGAGUAAUGAUGCCAGCAAAAUGGAGUCACCGGAACAUCUUCUCCGGUACACUGAAAACCGUCACAGAACCUUCAAAACCACUGUGCCCAAACUAAUUCUAAAGCAACAAAAGCAUCCUGAACUGCUAAAAGAAACAUCUUCUUUUUUAUUCAUUAUGUCACAAAACGAAGACUGAGAUAUUGCUUCAAAAACCUGCAGCUUCCCAACAAAUCAAGUCAAAGGAUGGUUCGAAAAACAGAUCCAAAAUCCCAAUUUUUUUAUGCACCAACAGAGACUCGAAUCGAAGUGAAUUCUCCAAGGCAAAGGAAGCUGUCGGAACCUUCGAGAAGAAGCAACUUCACAAACAACAAAAACCAAAUCAAAAGAUAAACCGAAGCUAGACGAAUCACAGAGACGAGACAGUGAAACCCUAGACGAAAACCGACCAUGAUGUCGCCGAAAGAGCCGACACAUGCCGGACUCAAGCCGUCCAUCACCGUAAAAAGAAACGGUCAAUGACGGAAAUGAUAGACGACCCAACCAUCGCAUAAUAAGCCGGUGGUUGUCGGACUGAAACCGGUUGCAACAACCGGACGGCUUUGCCGGAAUUAACCGGACGGCUUUACCGGAAAUAUCCGGACGGCGGAAGAAACAGAGUUUCUCUCUCUAAAAGAUUUAAGAGAGAGAAGAGAGAAAAACCUUA
This 1187-nucleotide long non-coding RNA is filed under the name Arabidopsis lyrata. RNAcentral describes it as "long non-coding RNA (ALYR_LNC001051)". The record is from RNAcentral. Lineage: Eukaryota; Viridiplantae; Streptophyta; Magnoliopsida; Brassicales; Brassicaceae.